RNAcentral lists this ribosomal RNA (687 nucleotides) under uncultured euryarchaeote. Its description in RNAcentral is "bacterial SSU rRNA". It matches the Rfam family "Archaeal small subunit ribosomal RNA", at positions 73 to 758 of the family's 1478-position model. The record is from RNAcentral. Lineage: Archaea; Methanobacteriati; Methanobacteriota.
GACCCGUAGCGAACAGCUCAGUAACACGUGGCCAAACUACCCUAUGGACGUGGACACCCUCGGGAAACUGAGGCCAAUCCACGAUACGGCUCCCACGCUGGAAUGCGGGGAGCCGGAAACGCUCCGGCGCCAUAGGAUGUGGCUGCGGCCGAUUAGGUAGACGGUGGGGUAACGGCCCACCGUGCCGAUAAUCGGUACGGGAUGUGAGAGCAAAUAGCCCGGAGAUGGAAUCUGAGACAAGAUUCCAGGCCCUACGGGGCGCAGCAGGCGCGAAACCUUUACACUGCACGCCAGUGCGAUAAGGGGACCCCGAGUGCGAGGGCAUACAGUCCUCGCUUUUGUACACCGUAAGGAGGUGUACGAAUAAGGGCUGGGCAAGACCGGUGCCAGCCGCCGCGGUAAUACCGGCAGCCCGAGUGAUGGCCGCUGUUAUUGGGCCUAAAGCGUCCGUAGCCGGCCGAACAAGUCUGUCGGGAAAUCCAUCCGCUCAACGGAUGGGCGUCCGGCAGAAACUGUUCGGCUUGGGGCCGGAAGAUCCGAGGGGUACGUCCGGGGUAGGAGUGAAAUCCUGUAAUCCUGGACGGACCGCCGGUGGCGAAAGCGCCUCGGAAGGACGGACCCGACGGUGAGGGACGAAAGCUGGGGUCUCGAACCGGAUUAGAUACCCGGGUAGUCCCAGCCGUAAAC